Molecule: long non-coding RNA, 218 nt
Filed under: Oryza brachyantha (malo sina)
Lineage: Eukaryota; Viridiplantae; Streptophyta; Magnoliopsida; Poales; Poaceae
Description: long non-coding RNA (OBRA_LNC002251)
Source: RNAcentral
UACCUCUUCGUGAUUUUCUCCUCCCUUACUAUUAGUUGUAGCCUCCUUUGACAUGACAUUCUAUGUGUCCCCAUCCAAUCUCCCUCUAUCGGCCUACCCCUUCUUACUCACAACCGAAGUACCAUCACCAUGAGUGCCAAUUGUGGUGGCCUCCGUUGCCAUGGCAUUUUGUGUCCUCCCAUCCAAUUUCCCUUUGUCAGCCUUCCUCUUCUUACUCA